RNAcentral lists this ribosomal RNA (1708 nucleotides) under Sacothrips catheter. Its description in RNAcentral is "eukaryotic LSU rRNA". It matches the Rfam family "Eukaryotic large subunit ribosomal RNA", at positions 82 to 1352 of the family's 3401-position model. Lineage: Eukaryota; Metazoa; Arthropoda; Insecta; Thysanoptera; Phlaeothripidae. The record is from RNAcentral.
AGUAGCGGCGAGCGAACACGGAAGAGCCCAGCGCUGAAUCCCCGGGUCCGUUGGGGCCCGCGGGAAAUGUAGCGUUAGGGAGCGUCCGUUAACUCGGGCGCGCGCGGCGAGCACAAGUCUCCCUUGAACGGUGCCAUAAUCCAUAGAGGGUGCCAGGCCCGUACUGCCGCUGCCGCGUCCGAGUGGGCGUCUCCUGGGAGUCGGUCUGUUUGAGAACGCAGACCUAAGUGGGUGGUAAACUCCAUCUAAGGCUAAAUAUGACCACGAGACCGAUAGCGCACAAGUACCGUGAGGGAAAGGUGAAAAGAACUUUGAAGAGAGAGUUCAAGAGUACGUGAAACUGGAGAGGUGAAAACGGAUGUGGCUCGAAAUUCCGAACGUGUGGUGUUCAGUCUCACCGUGUCCGGACCUCCCGUCCGCUGAGAUCAAGGGGCCUCGCCGGCGUGCGGCCGUUCCUUCGGGGCGGUCGUCGCGUCGCCCGGUCCCCUCUCGGGCGGGGUUAAAUAAUGGUUCCGGUUCGGUGUGGAUGCACUCACCACCGUAGUAGGAUGUCGCGACUCGUUGGGUGUCGGUCGCGAGGCUGGGCGGGGUAGCCCGGUGUCCGUGUGUCUCGCGCCUCUGAGGUGAAAUGCGAGCAGUGCGUCCCGGACCCGUUUUUCCCAUGUCCUCUCCGGCUGCCCGACGGUAUCGAAGGCGAGACGGCGAUUUCGCGCCCGCUGAAACAUUGCCCCUUGCUCGUCUCGGGGUAGGCGGGUUAGAGCGCCGUCUGUCUGCGGCAUUGCCUGAUUCGGGUCCACAUCCGACCCGUCUUGAAACACGGACCAAGGAGCGUAACACAUGCGCGAGUCGAAGGGUGCUACUAAACCCGGAGGCGAAGCGAAAGCGUAAGGGACGAUGGCCAAACACACAGGUCGUGCUCUCCCGGCUCUACGCCGGGAACCGGCCGGCCCGCAGUCCCGGGGCACCUCAUACGGCUCUGGCAGGGUUCCCCUCGCGGUUUUCGGCCGCGGGAAUUCCCAGUCUGAGUCGAGGCGCACCUGAGAGCGUAUGUGUUGUUACCCGAAAGAUGGUGAACUAUGCCUGGCCAGGACGAAGCCAGGGGAAACCCUGGUGGAAGUCCGUAGCGAUUCUGACGUGCAAAUCGAUCGUCGGAGCUGGGUAUAGGGGCGAAAGACUAAUCGAACCAUCUAGUAGCUGGUUCCCUCCGAAGUUUCCCUCAGGAUAGCUGGCGCUCGGAGGAAUGAGAAGUGGAUGACGAGUCUCAUCCGGUAAAGCGAAUGAUUAGAGGCAUUGGGGCCGAAACGACCUCAACCUAUUCUCAAACUUUAAAUGGGUGAGAACCCCGGCUUGCUUGAUACCGGUGCGCCCCUGUGCGUCGCAGCGCGCUCGCCUCGCGGCGGCGUGGCGGGCGCCUGGGGUCCCGGACGAAUCCUUUUUUUGGUCUUGAAGCCGGGGCGUGUGAUCACGGAUCACGAGUGCCAAGUGGGCCAAUUUUGGUAAGCAGAACUGGCGCUGUGGGAUGAACCAAACGCAGAGUUAAAGCGCCUAAGUGGACGCUCAUGGGAGACCAUGAAAGGUGUUGGUUGCUUAAGACAGCAGGACGGUGGCCAUGGAAGUCGGAAUCCGCUAAGGAGUGUGUAACAACUCACCUGCCGAAGCAACUAGCCCUUAAAAUGGAUGGAGCUAAAGCGUCCCGCUUAUACUCUGC